GCAGGUCAACAAGCAUGGAUGAACUGGGGCUUGAAAACAAGGAAGUACAUGCGCACUCGCCUCCGCCGCACGGGCUGAGCGACGGGAGAAAUUGCCAAUUCCCUCUCUCUCUUUUUUUCCAAUUCAGCAUAAAACAUCUGGACAAAUGUCACUGCGUUACGGUGAAGAACCCAGAUUUGGGACAACAGUAAUUUCAGCUCAGAGCACUGCAGAGUGACUGUAAGGGAAGACUGUCUUCUUCUGGCUUGCCUGCCCCCAGGAACAAAGCAGUAGCCUUGACUCUUCAAAGAGAUCAAGCAUCCAUGCCCUUCCUUUUACCUGUUGGCUGAGCACAGGACAAGCAGAAGCAAGAGAAAUGCACAUGGAGUGGAAAGUUGUGC
RNAcentral lists this long non-coding RNA (380 nucleotides) under Calidris pugnax (ruff). RNAcentral's name for it is "lncRNA (ENSCPUG00000011546.1)". The record is from RNAcentral. Lineage: Eukaryota; Metazoa; Chordata; Aves; Charadriiformes; Scolopacidae.